This 468-nucleotide ribosomal RNA is filed under the name uncultured bacterium. RNAcentral describes it as "partial 16S ribosomal RNA". It matches the Rfam family "Bacterial small subunit ribosomal RNA", at positions 28 to 507 of the family's 1533-position model. The record is from RNAcentral.
GACGAACGCUGGCGGCGUGCUUAACACAUGCAAGUCGAACGGAAAGGCCCUGCUUUUGUGGGGUGCUCGAGUGGCGAACGGGUGAGUAAUACGUGAGUAACCUGCCCUUGACUUUGGGAUAACUUCAGGAAACUGGGGCUAAUACCGGAUAGGAGCUCCUGCUGCAUGGUGGGGGUUGGAAAGUUUCGGCGGUUGGGGAUGGACUCGCGGCUUAUCAGCUUGUUGGUGGGGGAGGGGCUUACCAAGGCAUUGACGGAUAGCCGGCCUGAGAGGGGGACCGGGCACAAUGGGACUGAGAGACGGACCAGACUGCAACGGGAGGCAGCAGUGGGGAAUAUUGCACAAUGGGCGGAAGCCUGAUGCAACAACGCCGCGGGCGGGAUGACGGCCUUCGGGUUGUAAACCGCUUGCGCCUGUGACGAAGCGUGGGUGACGGUAAUGGGUAAAGAAGCACCGGCUAACUACGUG